RNAcentral lists this ribosomal RNA (395 nucleotides) under uncultured bacterium. RNAcentral describes it as "bacterial SSU rRNA". It matches the Rfam family "Bacterial small subunit ribosomal RNA", at positions 505 to 898 of the family's 1533-position model. The record is from RNAcentral.
GUGUCAGCCGCCGCGGUAAUACGGAGGGUGCAAGCAUUGAUCGGAAUUACUGGGCGUAAAGGGCGCGUAGGCGGCUAUAUAAGUCAGAUGUGAAAUUCCGGGGCUCAACCCCGGAGCUGCAUUUGAAACUAUAUAACUAGAGUACAGUUAGGGAAAAUGGAAUUACACGUGUAGCGGUGAAAUGCGUAGAUAUGUGUAGGAACACCGGUGGUGAAGACGAUUUUCUGGGCUGAAACUGACGCUGAGGCGCGAAAGCAAGGGGAGCAAACAGGAUUAGAUACCCUGGUAGUCCUUGCCUUAAACGAUGCAUACUAGGUGUAGGAGGGCUCAACCCCCUCUGUACCGAAGCUAACGCAUUAAGUAUGCCGCCUGGGGAGUACGCUCGCAAGGGUGAA